GACGAACGCUGGCGGCGUGCUUAACACAUGCAAGUCGAACGGUGAAGCCCUUCGGGGUGGCUCAGUGGCGAACGGGUGAGUAACACGUGAGCAACCUGCCCCUGGCUCUGGGACAACCACUGGAAACGGUGGCUAAUACUGGAUACGACCCGCCUCGGCAUCGAGUGUGGGUGGAAAGUUUUUCGGCUGGGGAUGGGCUCGCGGCCUAUCAGCUUGUUGGUGAGGUGAAGGCUCACCAAGGCGACGACGGGUAGCCGGCCUGAGAGGGCGACCGGCCACACUGGGACUGAGACACGGCCCAGACUCCUACGGGAGGCAGCAGUGGGGAAUAUUGCACAAUGGGCGAAAGCCUGAUGCAGCGACGCCGCGUGAGGGAUGACGGCCUUCGGGUUGUAAACCUCUUUCAGCUCCGAAGAAGCGAAAGUGACGGUAGGAGCAGAAGAAGCACCGGCUAACUACGUG
This 462-nucleotide ribosomal RNA is filed under the name uncultured bacterium. Its description in RNAcentral is "partial 16S ribosomal RNA". It matches the Rfam family "Bacterial small subunit ribosomal RNA", at positions 28 to 507 of the family's 1533-position model. The record is from RNAcentral.